RNAcentral lists this ribosomal RNA (248 nucleotides) under uncultured bacterium. Its description in RNAcentral is "partial 16S ribosomal RNA". It matches the Rfam family "Bacterial small subunit ribosomal RNA", at positions 15 to 257 of the family's 1533-position model. The record is from RNAcentral.
GAUCCUGGUUCAGGAUGAACGCUAGCGGCAGGCCUAACACAUGCAAGUCGAGGGGCAGCACGGUGUAGCAAUACACUGGUGGCGACCGGCGCACGGGUGCGUAACGCGUAUGCAACCGUACCCAUAACAGGGGGAUAACACUGAGAAAUUGGUACUAAUACCCCAUAACAUCAGGACCGGCAUCGGUUCUGGUUGAAAAACUCCGGUGGUUAUGGAUGGGCAUGCGUUGUAUUAGCUGGUUGGUGAGG